UGUGGGACAGGUAACAGGCUUUCACUGAGGCAGAAUAUCCCACUGAAGCAGACAGAUGAGCUCUAAGAGUGCUGCAGGAGGUUGUUCAGAAGGGUAAAGAAAGCUUCAAGGCUAGCAUUUUCUGUACAUGGUUGCACAGUCAUACUGAAAGUAAAUUACUCUGGUACAUUCAGCAUCUGCAGACAGAACUCUCUGCUUUCAAGGACGAUGCAAUGAAGGCUGAGGGGCAGCUAAUAGGACUCACCUGUUAAUGUUUCCUCAAUACAAGGCCAUCUAGCCUUUCAGUUGAAAAUAGGAUCCAACUGGAACACCUGGUCUAGUCCUAAUUAGACAUUAUGCCACUAAGCACCAGAGAGGAGCAGAACAAAGACUCAGUUCUAGCCUCCAGAGUCCCAGAAAAAAAGGAGUCUGCAAUUUAUCACUUUGAACCUGC
Long non-coding RNA from Vombatus ursinus (common wombat), 433 nucleotides. RefSeq lists it as uncharacterized. NCBI's taxonomy places the organism in Eukaryota, Metazoa, Chordata, Mammalia, Diprotodontia, Vombatidae. The transcript is spliced from 3 exons. The record is from RefSeq and is a predicted model, not a curated record.